CUUUGAACGCAUCUUGCACCUUUUGGUAUUCCAAAAGGUACACCUGUUUGAGUG
RNAcentral lists this ribosomal RNA (54 nucleotides) under Uromyces rumicis. Its description in RNAcentral is "partial 5.8S ribosomal RNA". The record is from RNAcentral. Lineage: Eukaryota; Fungi; Basidiomycota; Pucciniomycetes; Pucciniales; Pucciniaceae.